GAUGAACGCUGGCGGCGUGCCUAACACAUGCAAGUCGAGCGGACGGACGAGAAGCUUGUGUCUCUGAUGUUAGCGGCGGGCGGGUGAGUAACACGUGGAUAACCUACCUAUCUGACUGGGAUAACUUCGGGAAACCGGAGCUAAUACCGGAGAAUAUUUUGAACCGCAUGGUUCAAUAGUGAAUGACGGUCUUGCUGUCACUUAUAGAUGGUUCCGCGCUGCAUUAGCUAGUUGGUAGGGUAACGGCUUACCAAGGCAACGAUGCAUAGCCGACCUGAGAGAGGGAUAGGCCACACUGGAAGUGGGACACGGUCCAGACUCCUACGGGAGGCAGCAGUAGGGAAUCUUGGGCAAUGGGCGAAAGCCUGACGCAGCAACGCCGCGUGGGUGAAGAAGGCCUUCGGGUCGUAAAGCUCUGUUAUUAGGGAAGAACAUCUGUGUAUUUAGACGUGGACGUCUUGACGGUACCUAAUGAAUAAGCACCGGCUAACUACGUG
Molecule: ribosomal RNA, 497 nt
Filed under: uncultured bacterium
Lineage: Bacteria
Description: partial 16S ribosomal RNA
Rfam family: Bacterial small subunit ribosomal RNA
Source: RNAcentral